This 305-nucleotide ribosomal RNA is filed under the name uncultured bacterium. Its description in RNAcentral is "bacterial SSU rRNA". It matches the Rfam family "Bacterial small subunit ribosomal RNA", at positions 337 to 634 of the family's 1533-position model. The record is from RNAcentral.
GCCUACGGGGGGCAGCAGUAGGGAAUCUUCCACAAUGGGCGAAAGCCUGAUGGAGCAACGCCGCGUGGGUGAAGAAGGUCUUCGGAUCGUAAAACCCUGUUGUUAGAGAAGAAAGUGCGUGAGAGUAACUGUUCACGUUUCGACGGUAUCUAACCAGAAAGCCACGGCUAACUACGUGCCAGCAGCCGCGGUAAUACGUAGGUGGCAAGCGUUAUCCGGAUUUAUUGGGCGUAAAGGGAACGCAGGCGGUCUUUUAAGUCUGAUGUUAAAGCCUUCGGCUUAACCGGAGUAGAGCAUUGGAAACU